Molecule: long non-coding RNA, 502 nt
Organism: Dama dama (fallow deer)
Lineage: Eukaryota; Metazoa; Chordata; Mammalia; Artiodactyla; Cervidae
Exons: 4
Source: RefSeq, a predicted model, not a curated record
CCACUAACUACAAAUGGCUAGUCCAGAUGGAGAUGUGUCAUAAGUUAGAAUGCACACCAAAGACCUAACACCAAAAAAGGAUCCCUCCAGUAGAGCAACAGAAGUAUGCUGCUUGAGAGACUGGGUCAACGGCCUGGUUUGAGUAACCAAAGGUCUGGACAAGUGUACUGCUAACAUCUGAGAGUCCUAUAGAACAGUUUUGACCUGGAAUAUUUCAGGGCAAGUGUUGCCAGUCACCCGUGCCACAAAAGAACAUGACUUCUGCCAAACAUGUGGUUUUGUGCAAGCUGGUCUCCUGGUUGGGGCCGCAGAAAAGUGUGACGUUGACACUUCUCCGUCUGUAUUUGCUCCUCUUGAAUCUGGGUGGGCCUUGGACUGUGGUGGACGUGACUCUGCAUGACUUCUGAGGCUAAGUCAUAAAAAAUGCUAGAACUUCUCCCAGAUUUUUCUCCCUUGGGAGCCUUCUGCUGACAUGGAAGAACUUUGCCAUCCUGAAGUUACC